RNAcentral lists this long non-coding RNA (704 nucleotides) under Homo sapiens (human). RNAcentral's name for it is "HSALNT0002213". Lineage: Eukaryota; Metazoa; Chordata; Mammalia; Primates; Hominidae. The record is from RNAcentral.
AGAGUUGAGAGCACUGGACUCGAGUCUAACAGAUUGGAUUUGAACACUGGCUCCACCACUUACAAUUUGGGGAGCCUGGGCCAAAUUCUCCAGGAAACGGAAGGCUUGGUGGCAGAAGUGGCAGCUGGCAGGGCAGAGGGACACCCAGAUCGGGCAGGAGCUGCAGCACUGGGAGAAGGAAGGACUAUGAGCUCAUCAAGUGUCAGGGCCUGUUUGAUGAAUACCCAGGGAUGGAGGAGCAGUCGCUCAGCAGCGUGUGCCCUGGGCAUGAGUGGGGCCCCUGGGGGCCUGGCACAACAGGGGAGGUGGCCCCGGGCCUGACACUCCCUGCCUGCCAGAGCUGCAGUUUGGGUUCAUCACCAUCUUUGUGGGAGCCUUCCUGCUGGCACCCCUGUUCACUCUGCUCAACAACCGGGUAGAGAUUGGACUGGACGCCCACAAGUUCCUGUGCAAGUACCAGCGACCAAUGGCUGGGCGCGGCUGGACAUCUGGAUCUGACUGCUCCUGCUGGAGGCCAUGGUACACCUUGAGGUCACCGUGAAUGGGAGUGAGGCUUUCGUCUCGCCUUCAUCUCGGACUUCUGCCGCAUAUCCCGUAACAGUACGAACACCACACCCAGCUGCACGGAUUUGUGAAUUUCACGCGGGCACCCGCGCCCCAUGCCCACCUGGCCCAGAGCAAACACACUCUGCCCUUCAGGCUGG